RNAcentral lists this ribosomal RNA (517 nucleotides) under Xenorhabdus stockiae. Its description in RNAcentral is "bacterial SSU rRNA". It matches the Rfam family "Bacterial small subunit ribosomal RNA", at positions 38 to 536 of the family's 1533-position model. The record is from RNAcentral. Lineage: Bacteria; Pseudomonadati; Pseudomonadota; Gammaproteobacteria; Enterobacterales; Morganellaceae.
CGGCGUUGGGGGGGGGAGGCUAAACAUGCAAGUCGGGCGGUAACAGGAAGCAGCUUGCUGCUUUGCUGACGAGCGGCGGAAAGGGAUAAUGUCUGGGGAUCUGCCCGAUGGAGGGGGAUAACCACGGGAAACGGUGGCUAAUACCGCAUGACCUCUGAGGAGCAAAGUGGGGGACCUUCGGGCCUCACGCCAUCGGAUGAACCCAGGUGGGAUUAGCUAGUAGGUGGGGUAACGGCUCACCUAGGCGACGAUCCCUAGCUGGUCUGAGAGGAUGACCAGCCACACUGGGACUGAGACACGGCCCAGACUCCUACGGGAGGCAGCAGUGGGGAAUAUUGCACAAUGGGCGCAAGCCUGAUGCAGCCAUGCCGCGUGUAUGAAGAAGGCCUUCGGGUUGUAAAGUACUUUCAGCGGGGAGGAAGGCGUGAAGCCGAAUACGUUUCACUAUUGACGUUACCCGCAGAAGAAGCACCGGCUAACUCGGGGCCAGCAGCCGCGGUAAUACGGAGGGUGCAGG